This 422-nucleotide ribosomal RNA is filed under the name uncultured bacterium. RNAcentral's name for it is "bacterial SSU rRNA". It matches the Rfam family "Bacterial small subunit ribosomal RNA", at positions 355 to 774 of the family's 1533-position model. The record is from RNAcentral.
UGAGGAAUAUUGGGCAAUGCCCGCAAGGGUGACCCAGCAACGCCGCGUGGAGGAUGAAUGUCGUAAGAUUGUAAACUCCUGUUAGAGGGGAAGAAUAGUACCGGUUGGACCGGUAUAUGACUGUACCCUCAGAGAAAGCCCCGGCUAACUACGUGCCAGCAGCCGCGGUAAUACGUAGGGGGCAAGCGUUGUCCGGAUUUACUGGGUGUAAAGGGCGCGCAGGCGGGAUAAAAAGUCAGUGGUGAAAUCCUACAGCUUAACUGUAGAACUGCCUUUGAUACUUUUAUCCUUGAGUUCGGGAGAGAGAGACGGAAUUCCAGGUGUAGUGGUGAAAUACGUAGAUAUCUGGAGGAACACCAGUUGCGAAGGCGGUCUCUUGGUCCGACACUGACGCUGAGGCGCGAAAGCGUGGGGAGCAAACA